GCUCCCGUAGCUCAGGGGAUAGAGCACCGGUUUCCUAAACCGGGUGUCGGAGGUUCGAAUCCUCCCGGGAGCG
This 73-nucleotide transfer RNA is filed under the name Acidimicrobiia bacterium. RNAcentral's name for it is "tRNA-Arg". It matches the Rfam family "tRNA". From Rfam's summary of the family: Transfer RNA (tRNA) molecules are approximately 80 nucleotides in length. Their secondary structure includes four short double-helical elements and three loops (D, anti-codon, and T loops). Lineage: Bacteria; Bacillati; Actinomycetota; Acidimicrobiia. The record is from RNAcentral.